GAUGAACGCUGGCGGCGUGCCUAAUACAUGCAAGUCGAGCGAACGGACGAGAAGCUUGCUUCUCUGAUGUUAGCGGCGGACGGGUGAGUAACACGUGGAUAACCUACCUAUAAGACUGGGAUAACUUCGGGAAACCGGAGCUAAUACCGGAUGAUAUUUUGAACCGCAUGGUUCAAAAGUGAAAGACGGUCUUGCUGUCACUUAUAGAUGGAUCCGCGCUGCAUUAGCUAGUUGGUAAGGUAACGGCUUACCAAGGCAACGAUGCAUAGCCGACCUGAGAGAGUGAUCGGCCACACUGGAACUGAGACACGGUCCAGACUCCUACGGGAAGCAACAGUAGGGAAUCUUCCGCAAUGGGCGAAAGCCUGACGGAGCAACGCCGCGUGAGUGAUGAAGGUCUUCGGAUCGUAAAACUCUGUUAUUAGGGAAGAACAUAUGUGUAAGUAACUGUGCACAUCUUGACGGUACCUAAUCAGAAAGCCACGGCUAACUACGUG
RNAcentral lists this ribosomal RNA (497 nucleotides) under uncultured bacterium. RNAcentral's name for it is "partial 16S ribosomal RNA". It matches the Rfam family "Bacterial small subunit ribosomal RNA", at positions 28 to 507 of the family's 1533-position model. The record is from RNAcentral.